Molecule: non-coding RNA, 1177 nt
Organism: Oryzias latipes (Japanese medaka)
Lineage: Eukaryota; Metazoa; Chordata; Actinopteri; Beloniformes; Adrianichthyidae
Source: RefSeq, a predicted model, not a curated record
UUCCUACUGUUAUUUAUCAGGUCCGUCGAAUUCAAUGCGUUAAUCAUUUUAAUCUGUAAUGUGUAGGAGUCCAAUAACGUUUUUUUUACACCGCAGUAUGGCGGUCCUUCCCAUUUAUAUGUCAGCCUGCCGUAGCUGCUGUGCGCGCGCAGCCACCAUUUCUCGAAUGCAAGACAGUGACAGACUGUUUAGGUUGUCAUGAUCGCUCAUUGUUGGUCAAGCGAAGUUUACACUGUGUUGUUGAUUUUGAACAUUCUCCUGCAGAGAUUUUUUUUUUUAAAUGGAGGUCCGUGACUCCAGAUACUCGUCACGAUUUCCCAUACCAAAAACUCAGGAAAAUCAGGAAAACAUUUUUUUAAAUGAACUUCCAAGAAAUAAAUCUGUAGGCCCUUAAAAGCCAGUGCAUUGUCGCCAGUGUUUUUUUAGCAGUUCUGCAAAUUCUGCAACAUUGCUGUGGCAGCUAGUGUGAACUGUAUAUUUGCCAUUACUAUUUUAAAAUGUAUUAAUUCAUUUGGAACAGGACUUAGAUCUGAAUAAAUGCUGUGUUGGUACCUUUUGGUGUUGUAAUGUUUUUUUCUUUUUUGUAAUAUAUUGUUUUUUUUCCCACCAGGAAAGAUGCAAGCUGUGCGUGAACAUGUGGAAUGCCAAAAGAAAAAAUAUUUUGAAGUUCAGCUGACCUACAAAUCCUUUUGGGAAUGCGGUGAGUGGAAACAUCACAAUUUCCAGCAUUUUUCUUUACAGGAAUCAGUCAAGUUUGGAUAAACUGUCAGCUGUAAUGCAAACAGAUUUUUUUAAUUGCUUUUUAAUUUAAAGAUAAUUUCUGUGCUGUAUUCUAAACAUAAUUUUGCGGUGUUCACAGCUGCCAAAAAGUUCAACAUCCCAACCUUGGACUUGAAAGUGUUUGAUGACUCAAAGACAGAAGUUGAUGAGCAGGUUUUUGAUCUCCUGUUGAAAAACCCAAACCUUGGUGUGUUGGAAAGUUGUCUGGCCGAAGAUACAAAUCCAGAAGAUCAGCCGAGUUGUCCUGCAAAGAGCUGCAAUACCAGUUCAAGUGGAGAUACUGAAGUGGACUCAGAUGACACCAUAAUAUUAAAAACACAAUCCUACAACAAGACGAAGACUUGAAGACACCUCUCUUUCCAAAGUGGUUGCUGUCAUUAGCCGCGGUUACAUGGGC